GGUGAGUCGGGUCCUAAGGCGAGGCCGACAGGCGUAGUCGAAUGGAUGAACGGGUGGAUAUUCCCGUACCGGCGGCGUACCGUAAGAGCCGAACGGAUGAGUACUAACCUCCGGUCGCGUGGCGUCGUUCCCUUCGGGGUUCGGUGUCCGCGGUCGUUGGGAGCGUAGUCCUGGUAGGCUAGCGCACAGGGGUGACACGGAAUGGGAGCCGGCCGCGGAGGUGGUUUUCCGUGGUCAAGCACGCAGCCCGUCCCAUAGGCAAAUCCGUGGGACGCAUAGGGUGAGGUGUGAUGAUGGGCGUCUUUAUGGCGCGAUAUCCGGUGGUCCAGGCCGUCGAGAAAAGCCUCGGCGCGAGGGGCGUCGCCGCCCGUACCCCAAACCGACACUGGUGGUCAGGUAGAGAAUACCAAGGCGAUCGAGCGAAUCCUGGUCAAGGAACUCGGCAAAUCACUCCCGUGCCUUCGGUAUAAGGGAGACCCCCGGGCGUGAAGAGGCUUGCCCUCGGAGCGUUGGGGGGUGGCACAGACCAGGGGGUAGCGACUGUUUACCAAAAACACAGGUGCAUGCGAAGGCGCAAGCCGCUGUAUAUGCACUGACGCCUGCCCGGUGCCGGAAGGUUAAGAGGAUCCGUCAGCCCCUUUUGGGGUGAAGCGGUGAAUUCAAGCCCCGGUAAACGGCGGUGGUAACUAUAACCAUCCUAAGGUAGCGAAAUUCCUUGUCGGGUAAGUUCCGACCUGCACGAAUGGCGUAACGACUUCCCCACUGUCUCGACCAGGAGCUCGGCGAAAUUGCAGUACGAGUAAAGAUGCUCGUUAAGCGCAGAAGGACGAAAAGACCCCGGGACCUUUACUAUACCUUGGUAUUGGCGUUAGGCGCGGAUUGUGUAGCAUAGGCGGGAGGCUUCGAAGCGCGGGCGCCAGCCCGUGUGGAGCCGCAAGGUGAAAUACCGCUCUGUUCUCGUUUGACGUCUAACCUCGAACAGUCAUCCUGUUCAGGGACAGUGCCUGGCGGGUAGUUUAACUGGGGCGGUUGCCUCCCAAAGAGUAACGGAGGCGCUCAAAGGUCCGCUCAGCCCGGUUGGCAAUCGGGUUUCGAGUGUAAUCGCACAAGCGGGCUUGACUGCGAGAACGACGGUUCGGGCAGGGACGAAAGUCGGAGAUAGUGAUCCGGUGCCGGCGCACGGGCGCGGCAUCGCUCAACGGAUAAAAGGUACCCCGGGGAUAACAGGCUGAUCAUUCCCAAGAGUCCAUAUCGACGGGAUGGUUUGGCACCUCGAUGUCGGCUCGUCGCAUCCUGGGGCUGGAGCAGGUCCCAAGGGUUCGGCUGUUCGCCGAUUAAAGCGGCACGCGAGCUGGGUUCAGAACGUCGUGAGACAGUUUGGUCUCUAUCCUCUGCGCUCGUUGGAAUCCUGAGGAGGCCUGCCCAUAGUACGAGAGGACCUGGGUGGACGGACCUCUGGUAUGCCGGUUGUCGCGCCAGCGGCAUGGCCGGUUGGCUACGUUCGGGAGGGAUAACCGCUGAAAGCAUCUAAGCGGGAAGCCUGCUCCAAGAUUAGGAUUCCUUGGCACUUCGGUGCCUGUAGCCCGCAUGUGGAACACGUGUUCGAUAGGCCGGAGGUGGAAGCCCCGCGAGGGGUGGAGCCGACCGGUACUAACGGGCGAACGCGGCACACU
Molecule: ribosomal RNA, 1673 nt
Filed under: human gut metagenome
Description: bacterial LSU rRNA
Rfam family: Bacterial large subunit ribosomal RNA
Source: RNAcentral